ACAGCUGCUUGAUAGAGUUACAUCAUAAUCUACUGAAAUGUUUGUCUCAAUGAUUGAGGCAGUGGAAGAUGAAUGUGUGGAAACGGGUGUGUUUACAUAGAUGAAGAGACCAUCAUUCACUGUUACAGGCAAAUACAAAUUGCCAGUCCUUUGACUGACAGGUUUUUUGUUGGACUGGAGAAGCAGCACAUGAGCAAAAGCUUUAUUUCCAUUCCAAACUCCAAACACGGACAACAGAGCUUGUUCAGUAUAUGAGCAUUCUUUUCAUGAAACAAAUUAAAUGUCAUUCAUGUGAGUGAACACUCUUUCUUCAGUCUCCAGGGACGGUGACAGUGGGGCUCUGCUGUCUGAAACUGACUUACCUUCAAAACAAGAAAGCCCUGAAGAGCUGCACCUUGGGGACCGCUGUCAAGUGAUCUCUGACACUUCAUUCCCUCUCUACACAAGAACCCUCUCUGACAGACACAAGCAGGGAAGAACUCAACUGCAGCUUAUUGCUGGAGUCUAAGCAAAGUUCAGCACAGAAGAGAAGACCUGAUAGAGCUGCAAGUGCUGUAACAUGUAAAAGGUCUUCGGUGAGAUCAACUGAGGAAUUUCUUUGACUUCCUGUAUCCUGUGAUAAGUCCUCAAACCACUGAAGCCUAUAAUGACUCCAUUACCGAGACCCCCGCCAGACUGUGUGUGUGUGUGAGAGAGAGACUGAGAGAGAAAAUAUAAUGUGUGUGUGUGUAUCCCAUUAUCAAGUGUAAUCAUUUUGCAGUCAAGCUGGUAAUGAGGUGUAAUAUUGCCCAACAUGAUAACAUAUACACACAAACACCUCCCACACUUUAAAUUCACACCAAAACAUAUAUUUAAAUAUACACCGACUUGC
Molecule: long non-coding RNA, 871 nt
Organism: Megalobrama amblycephala (Wuchang bream)
Lineage: Eukaryota; Metazoa; Chordata; Actinopteri; Cypriniformes; Xenocyprididae
Exons: 3
Source: RefSeq, a predicted model, not a curated record